AAUCCUAGAAAAGCCGGUCUCAGUUCGGAUUGUAGGCUGCAACUCGCCUACAUGAAGUCGGAAUUGCUAGUAAUCGCGGAUCAGCAUGCCGCGGUGAAUACGUUCCCGGGUCUUGUACACACCGCCCGUCACACCACGAGAGUUUACAACACCCGAAGUCGGUGGGGUAACCCGCAAGGGAGCCAGCCGCCGAAGGUGGGGUAGAUGAUUGGGGUGAAGUCGUAACAAGGUAGCCGUAUCGGAAGG
Molecule: ribosomal RNA, 246 nt
Filed under: Paenibacillus sp. Aloe-11
Lineage: Bacteria; Bacillati; Bacillota; Bacilli; Caryophanales; Paenibacillaceae
Description: partial 16S ribosomal RNA
Rfam family: Bacterial small subunit ribosomal RNA
Source: RNAcentral